UCAUUGCUGGAACAAACGCCCUCACGGGUGCUACCCAGAAACCCUUUGUGAAUUAUACCUUACCUGUUGCCUCGGCAUUGGUUGGCCUCUUCCUGAGGGGACCCCUUUUCUAUAAAGGAGCAGACCGGCCGGUGGCCCUAUAAACUCUUGUUUUUGUACUAUCAUCUGAGUAAACAACUAUAAAUGAAUCAAAACUUUCAACAACGGAUCUCUUGGUUCUGGCAUCGAUGAAGAACGCAGCGAAAUGCGAUAAGUAAUGUGAAUUGCAGAAUUCAGUGAAUCAUCGAAUCUUUGAACGCACAUUGCGCCCGGUGGUAUUCCACCGGGCAUGCCUGUUCGAGCGUCAUUUCAACCCUCAAAGCCUGGCUUUGGUGUUGGAGGAAUACUCUUUUACUUGAGUACCCUCUGAAAUUUAGUGGCGGGCUCGCUAGAAUUUUGAGCGUAGUAAUUUUACCUCGUUUGUAAAGACUAGUGGGACUUCUUGCCGUAAAACCCCCCCCCAUUUUCUGA
This 510-nucleotide ribosomal RNA is filed under the name Plagiostoma sp. BPI 877708. RNAcentral's name for it is "eukaryotic LSU rRNA". The stretch from base 193 to 346 matches the Rfam family "5.8S ribosomal RNA". The record is from RNAcentral. Lineage: Eukaryota; Fungi; Ascomycota; Sordariomycetes; Diaporthales; Gnomoniaceae.